Molecule: long non-coding RNA, 692 nt
Organism: Herpailurus yagouaroundi (jaguarundi)
Lineage: Eukaryota; Metazoa; Chordata; Mammalia; Carnivora; Felidae
Exons: 2
Source: RefSeq, a predicted model, not a curated record
AACCUAACUUUAAUAUUUAGAGGUAGAAAUUCACCUGAUUUGAAGAUAACCCUUUUCGUGUGUGUCUUCUGAGAGUGGGAUUGGACUGAGAAUAUUGUAUCGUGCUUUUACACAGACAGUGCCACAUCUUUAGCGUGGGAGUAAGGGAACAUACAGAACAAAGUUUAAAAAUCAUCCUGUGAUUCGGAGCGUGCGAGACAGUGUAAACACCAGUAAAUGCUUUGACUGGUUCCAGAAUAAUUGGCUUAGCAUCAACACACGUCCUUGUUGUUAAAGCUUCUUAUAGAGAAAAGGCAAAUGAGGAUUGAUCGCUCUUACCCUGUAGUCUGGUCAUUGUAGCACCGAAAAGACAUUUUUUUGUGAGUAAAAUGUGCAUACGCUGAAAUUGACAGGUCCUUACUGUAUGAUUUGAUGAGUUUGACAAGUGUAUGUGUCUAAGAAACCUAAGAAACCAACACCCCAUUCACGAUCUACAACAUUUCCAUCGGCCCAGAAAGUUCCCUCCUGGUAGACCCUCGCCCCCACAGACGGCCGCUCCGAUGGGCACACUGGCGGAAAGUUCUCUGUGAAUAUUUGAUGUUAAUUGUUACAACUCUUUUUCAAUUCGUAGGAGGUCAGAGCCUUCAGAUGGCAGAUAACAGUUUUUCAGAUGGUGUUCCCUCAGACGCCUUGGAGGCUGCUAAAAAUGCAAG